GGGGAAACCGAGGGUGUAAUGGAACGUGCGUUUUUAUCAGGACUGUGCUCAUGUGGACCCUGAAAGUGCAUGGCUCUCUAGGAGAACAGUGGGUGCAUAGCCAGAAACCUGUACAAUUGCGGGAGACACGCCUGUGUCCGUAUGGUACAUUCAUCCGUCAGGCCAGGAAAGUAUGAUGGUUAGGACCUCGUGCUUUCUAACUGUAGAAUUUUAACAUUGCUAUUAAAUAUAUCUGAUAUUAAUGACAUGCGUCUGCGUGAAGCGCAUAUCUCAGUAAAAAGGCUUAGGUAGAAAGCAGAUCAUCACGAGUAAGCAUUAGCUUCGAGCCUGCAGGUGCUCCUUGCCUUUUUUGUCACCAGAUAAAGGUCAUACUGUGUGUUGCUUUUGUGCUCCCAAUCUAGAAAAAAAAUUAGUGGUUUGAUUUGCUACAUUACAACUUUGCCUGUUCAAAGCUUUGUUGAAUUUAGGAGAGUAAUUUGGGCAAAAGCUAGUUUUUAUUAAAAAAAAAAAAAAACAACAAAAAAACCACCCAGCUAUGAUCUCUCACUAUACCUUCUACUUACCAGUGAUGUUAAAUUGUUUGUGCCAACUGGAGAAGCGCACCAAGUGGUGGUCUUCCUUUUGGGGACUGGCAUAGAACACAAGACCUACUUCACCGGCUUCAGGUUACUGCUCGUUUGUCACAGUGUCACAGUGAAGUGCCUCUCACACUUCGGAAUGUCCCUCAUGGUCUGCAGUGAAUAAAGUGUCAACUUGUU
This 758-nucleotide long non-coding RNA is filed under the name Rattus norvegicus (Norway rat). RNAcentral's name for it is "long non-coding RNA NONRATT027282". Lineage: Eukaryota; Metazoa; Chordata; Mammalia; Rodentia; Muridae. The record is from RNAcentral.